Molecule: unclassified non-coding RNA, 834 nt
Filed under: Zea mays
Lineage: Eukaryota; Viridiplantae; Streptophyta; Magnoliopsida; Poales; Poaceae
Description: misc RNA Zm00001eb377460
Source: RNAcentral
GGAUCAGCAGCAUAAUCAGAAUGAAAAAAAAAAGGAGCACCCCAAGCCUCUUUCACUGUAUACAUGCAUAGGGGAUUCUUUUCGUUCAUCAAUCAUAUGGUUGGCAGCCUCUAGUUACAGAGAUUUACAGGGAUCGCAUUACCACAGAGAAGCAGAAAACAAAACAAAACAAAAAACGGAGUCUAAGCAGACAGCAAGAGCUGAAAUUUACAGCAAAAGAGCGCCCUUUUUUUUGUCAAUGGAGAAAAAAAAACAGCGCGUUCGGGAGCGUAGACCCGCUGAUCCAUCCAUAUCCACUGAAUGAUCAGGGUCAGGGCAUGACGGUGGCGGAGUCGAGGCGGUCGAGGCGGCUCCACAGCCGCCCGAGCGCGGGCGGCGGCGCCCGGUGGCAGGCGACGGCGAGGAAGAUCCGCUGCAGGCCGUCGACGAGGCGCACCAUCCGGCGCGCCGGCGCCAGCAGCAGCGUCAAGGGUAGCACCCAGAUGCCCAGAUCCAGGAUCAGCAUCCUUGAAUCCUCGAUCGAUGGGUGGGAGGGACAGCCGGCCCACGGCACCGCGUCCCGACUGCCGGUCGAUCGUUUCUUCACCACGGGAACGAACUCGCUCGCUCGCGCGCGCGCCCCGCCCUCUCCUAUGAGGAAACAGGGGGGGUUGUUAAAUGGAGAUGAGGUUGGCGUCGCCGCUAUGAUAUGAUGGCGGCGAGGCGAGCGUGAUUGAUUGAUUAGAGGAGAUGUGUAGUACUAUAAUAAAUGAUGACGAUGAUGAUGCUCUGCUGCUGCUGGUGGCAGCGCGGGAGAGGUUCGCCUGCGGGGGCGGCGACGUGCUACCUGCCUCG